AGAAACCAUUUAAAAUGUUAUUGAUGAGACAGAGCCUUGAAAAGCAGCCUCAAGCUACUGCGUGGUCCUCUUGUUGGCCAAAAGAUGAUGUCCAGCCCAGCACCAAUUUCAGAGACAUAAAUAAGAGCAUGGUUUCUAGGUCAAGGAGCUACUUGGAACUUAGUGAUGAAAUCAAGUUCUGUGCAAAUAUUCCUGAGAGUGUAAUGGAGAGAUCAGCUCCAGCCAGAGCGCACAGGCAAGUCCUCUCCAUUCCUUUCCAUUCUAAUUCCUCUCAGGAUGGGCUUGGUCUGGUGUACUCCUCUAAUAAUGAUCUCAUGUAUCAGGAAGUAUGGUGAGGGCAGCUGGUGGACAGAUACUCUGCUCUCCAGGGAGAAUUCAGAAGAGGCUGUUGGAUCCCAUGGAACUGCAGUUAUAGAUAGUAGUGAGUAGCUACAUAGGUACUGGUAAGUGAACCUGGGUCUUCUAGAUGAGUAUCAAGUGUUGUUAACCACUGAUCCAUCUCUCUAGCCCUGAGUGCUCUGGUUUGAAUGUGUCCUGUAGUUACUGAUUUCAUUGGGGCAUUUGGGAGUGGGGCCUCUGAUUAGGGUUUUUAUCUGUCUGGGGGAGUCUUGUAACAUAGGUGCUUUCUGUUUUUCUUUAUAAUUAAUUGCCUGGGGAUGUUACUGAGGCACUCAGUGAUACCAGAGGGGUGUGUCCCCUGCUCUUCACUCUGACCAGAUAUGUGAGAGAGGGUGAAGGGAUCUUUCUGGAAGAUGAAGUUUCUAUUGUGUUUUCCCUGGACGUGAGAUAUUUUCACCAGUAUCUACUGUACGAGACAAGAACAUGCAAGGCUGUGAAAAUGUGGAAGGGACUCACUGAGCAGAGGAUGCAGAUUGGUUUGAAGUUUGCAAAGAGGAACUCAGAGGGAGACAAACAACUCACCACAGGGCUCUGGGUGAAGUCACCUGACUGUUUCAGAAACUGUUCCCAUUAUGACACCUGUCAGAAUGUCCCACUGCCCGAGAGCUAGGCAGGUGCUGUGGGGCCCACUGACCUACUGACCUACUGACCUACUGACCCACCAGAUUGUAUACACUGCAGCCUAGUCCUCCCUUGCCUAUUGAGACCACCUUUGAACUGAAGUCUCCAAUGAGGUUCACAUUCCAUGAAGAGAGCACAGAGCCUGUUUAUGAUGGUUCGAAUAUACUUGGACCAGGAAGUGGCACUAUUAGGAAGUGUGGCCUUGUUGGAGGAA
Mus musculus (house mouse) is the source of this 1234-nucleotide long non-coding RNA. RefSeq annotates it as predicted gene, 41376. The record is from RefSeq and is a predicted model, not a curated record. NCBI's taxonomy places the organism in Eukaryota, Metazoa, Chordata, Mammalia, Rodentia, Muridae. The transcript is spliced from 4 exons.